CAGCCGCCACGGGAAUACGUAGGGUGCGAGCGUUAAUCGGAAUUACUGGGCGUAAAGCGUGCGCAGGCGGUUUUGUAAGACAGGCGUGAAAUCCCCGGGCUCAACCUGGGAAUGGCGCUUGUGACUGCAAAGCUAGAGUGCGGCAGAGGGGGAUGGAAUUCCGCGUGUAGCAGUGAAAUGCGUAGAUAUGCGGAGGAACACCGAUGGCGAAGGCAAUCCCCUGGGCCUGCACUGACGCUCAUGCACGAAGGCGUGGGGAGCAAACAGGAUUAGAUACCCCGGUAGUCCCUGUCUCUUAUAC
RNAcentral lists this ribosomal RNA (301 nucleotides) under uncultured bacterium. RNAcentral's name for it is "partial 16S ribosomal RNA". It matches the Rfam family "Bacterial small subunit ribosomal RNA", at positions 509 to 807 of the family's 1533-position model. The record is from RNAcentral.